GCAGUCGAGCGGAUGAAAGGAGCUUGCUCCUGGAUUCAGCGGCGGACGGGUGAGUAAUGCCUAGGAAUCUGCCUGGUAGUGGGGGACAACGUUUCGAAAGGAACGCUAAUACCGCAUACGUCCUACGGGAGAAAGCAGGGGACCUUCGGGCCUUGCGCUAUCAGAUGAGCCUAGGUCGGAUUAGCUAGUUGGUGAGGUAAUGGCUCACCAAGGCGACGAUCCGUAACUGGUCUGAGAGGAUGAUCAGUCACACUGGAACUGAGACACGGUCCAGACUCCUACGGGAGGCAGCAGUGGGGAAUAUUGGACAAUGGGCGAAAGCCUGAUCCAGCCAUGCCGCGUGUGUGAAGAAGGUCUUCGGAUUGUAAAGCACUUUAAGUUGGGAGGAAGGGCAUUAACCUAAUACGUUAGUGUUUUGACGUUACCGACAGAAUAAGCACCGGCUAACUCUGUGCCAGCAGCCGCGGUAAUACAGAG
This 477-nucleotide ribosomal RNA is filed under the name Pseudomonas sp. RNAcentral's name for it is "bacterial SSU rRNA". It matches the Rfam family "Bacterial small subunit ribosomal RNA", at positions 57 to 530 of the family's 1533-position model. The record is from RNAcentral. Lineage: Bacteria; Pseudomonadati; Pseudomonadota; Gammaproteobacteria; Pseudomonadales; Pseudomonadaceae.